Molecule: ribosomal RNA, 505 nt
Filed under: uncultured bacterium
Lineage: Bacteria
Description: bacterial SSU rRNA
Rfam family: Bacterial small subunit ribosomal RNA
Source: RNAcentral
ACUCAAAGGAAUUGACGGGGACCCGCACAAGCGGUGGAGCAUGUGGUUUAAUUCGAAGCAACGCGAAGAACCUUACCAAAACUUGACAUCCCAGUGACAGCUUUUUAAUCGAAGCCUUCUAAGUUUACUUAGACACUGGAGACAGGUGGUGCAUGGUUGUCGUCAGCUCGUGUCGUGAGAUGUUGGGUUAAGUCCCGUAACGAGCGCAACCCUUAUCUUUAGUAGCCAGCAAGUUAAGUUGGGGACUCUAGAGAGACUGCCAGGGAUAACCUGGAGGAAGGUGGGGAUGACGUCAAAUCAUCAUGCCCCUUAUGUUUUGGGCUACACACGUGCUACAAUGGCUGCUACAAAGGGAAGCGACUGGGUGACCACAAGCCAACCUCAAAAAAGCAGUCCCAGUUCGGAUUGUAGUCUGCAACUCGACUACAUGAAGUUGGAAUCGCUAGUAAUCGCGAAUCAGCAUGUCGCGGUGAAUACGUUCCCGGGUCUUGUACACACCGCCCGU